AUGGGGCGACUCGGUGCUCUGGUUCGGAUGCACCCAAAAUCACUACAGUGGGUGGUGGACGAGUGCGACUCCGUCCACGGUUGUGAUGCCGAGCACAACUACGAGGAGCCAUGCGCCUACAACGUCGUGGACACCUCGCUGGCGGUGUGGGAUGCCCCGGGCCUCGACCAGAACAUCGGUUUGCAGGAUGUUACCUGGUCUGACGAGUGA
Molecule: ribosomal RNA, 210 nt
Filed under: Triticum aestivum (bread wheat)
Lineage: Eukaryota; Viridiplantae; Streptophyta; Magnoliopsida; Poales; Poaceae
Description: partial small subunit ribosomal RNA
Source: RNAcentral